This 359-nucleotide ribosomal RNA is filed under the name uncultured fungus. Its description in RNAcentral is "eukaryotic LSU rRNA". The stretch from base 1 to 71 matches the Rfam family "5.8S ribosomal RNA", at positions 84 to 154 of the family's 154-position model. The record is from RNAcentral. Lineage: Eukaryota; Fungi.
GUGAGUCAUCGAAUCUUUGAACGCAUAUUGCGCUCUUUGGUAUUCCGAAGAGCAUGCUUGUUUGAGUAUCAGUAAACACCUCAAAGUCUUCAAUUUGUUUUGAAUGGCUUUGACUUGAGCAAUCCCAACACCAGUCUUUACGAUCGGUGGAGGGUUGCUUGAAAUGCAGGUGCAGCUGGACAUUCUCCUGAGCUAAAAGCAUAUUUAUUUAGUCCCGUCAAACGGAUUAUUACUUUUGCUGCAGCUAACAUAAAGGGAGUUUGACCGUAUUGGCUGACUGAUGCAGGAUUUCACAAGGGUCGGCAACGAUUCUUGUAAAACUCGAUCUCAAAUCAAGUAAGACUACCCGCUGAACUUAA